UAAUCCCAUGGAUGAGUGGAACCGCUGGAACAGAGGGAGCCGUGUAGCAUGGAGCGACGCCGGUUUGCAAAUUGUCACACAGACAGACUGAUCCAGCCUUGCUGACAAAUUGGACUUUUGUGUGACCAAUGUUCUGUGUCUUUGUGGGGUUUUACAGUCAUUGCGGCACGCUGCUUGUGAAGACAUAUGUUCUUCCAGUUUUCUUCAAGAGGAUAAUGCCAUGAGGCUGUUCCAUUUCUGUCAGCUUUGGACAUGGAUCAGUGGCUUUGUGUUUUCCCAUCACCACAAAGAUGAAUAAACAACACGGAAAAGAGAUGUGGAAGAUGACAGACACAAGAGAAU
Molecule: long non-coding RNA, 342 nt
Organism: Sinocyclocheilus rhinocerous
Lineage: Eukaryota; Metazoa; Chordata; Actinopteri; Cypriniformes; Cyprinidae
Exons: 3
Source: RefSeq, a predicted model, not a curated record